AUUGAACGCUGGCGGCAGGCCUAAUACAUGCAAGUCGAGCGGAUGAAGGGAGCUUGCUCCUGGAUUCAGCGGCGGACGGGUGAGUAAUGCCUAGGAAUCUGCCUGGUAGUGGGGGAUAACGUCCGGGAACGGGCGCUAAUACCGCAUACGUCCUGAGGGAGAAAGUGGGGGAUCUUCGGACCUCACGCUAUCAGAUGAGCCUAGGUCGGAUUAGCUAGUUGGUGGGGUAAAGGCCUACCAAGGCGACGAUCCGUAACUGGUCUGAGAGGAUGAUCAGUCACACUGGAACUGAGACACGGUCCAGACUCCUACGGGAGGCAGCAGUGGGGAAUAUUGGACAAUGGGCGAAAGCCUGAUCCAGCCAUGCCGCGUGUGUGAAGAAGGUCUUCGGAUUGUAAAGCACUUUAAGUUGGGAGGAAGGGCAGUAAGUUAAUACCUUGCUGUUUUGACGUUACCAACAGAAUAAGCACCGGCUAACUUCGUG
This 484-nucleotide ribosomal RNA is filed under the name uncultured bacterium. Its description in RNAcentral is "partial 16S ribosomal RNA". It matches the Rfam family "Bacterial small subunit ribosomal RNA", at positions 30 to 507 of the family's 1533-position model. The record is from RNAcentral.